ACAGGUGCUCUACUCCGAUUCUCCGAAUUAACAAUCGCUGCAGUUCGAAGAAUUUUCUGAUUCUGACUAUACGACAAGCACCUUUCCCGACGUUCUGUACAACGAAAAUGCUUUGCUCGGUUCCCUCUCCCGGAAAGUCCGGUACGAAUUGGCUCGACCGGCUCCGGUCCAACAAGGGCUUCUUGACCUCUACCGAUGAAGACAAUGUUGACAACAACCUUGGCCUUGACCACUUCCUCCACAACGAAAACCCUAGCGAGUCAACCCGCUCCAACUCCGGCUUUACUCCGUCCGGCCGCGAACGAGUAGCUAAUCGGGCAGGGCACGAAGGCGGACAUCAACGGCAAGAAAAACUGUAUAGUAUCAUGAGCAAUGUCCUCUCCGAGCUAUUCUUUAUGGACGGUGAUGCCCACAUCAAAAGCUCCAAACUUUCCGGGAAAAAGUUUCCCAGGAAACAAGCAAUCCCCAAAUCUCUAACCACCUCAGCCAUCAGUAAUAUGCAUCUCCAACACCAGAAACAACAAGAAGUGAAGAGUCCCGCUUGUGCCUCGAAGGACGAUAUUGGCCCGCGAACGGCGUCGUUAAAUUCCGAUAGCAGUUCGAAGGAAACAAAAGAAGGGAAUGUGGGAGAGGAGGAAGAGGAGAGGGUGGAGGAGGAUAAGGGGGAGAGAGAGCUAGUUGGAUAUUCGAGAAGUGAGGUGACCGUGAUCGAUACGAGUUUCGGGGUGUGGAAGAGUGACAAGGUGGUGUAUAGGAGAAAGAACACGUGGAAGGUAAGGGAGAAGAGAGGGAAAGUAAGGAGCUUUGGUAGGAAGAAGAGGAAAUUAGGGAGUGGUGUCCGUGACGAUGAUAACAGUGAUGAUGAAAAUGUUGGUGGGGUGAUGAAGAAAACCAAGGUUUCGAGCUCGGAGUCUGUAGCGGCUUUGAAUCAAUAUGUGACUAGUAGCCUCUCUCAUUGUGUUAGUUGAAGAUGUAACUCAGCAGCCCCUCUCAGAGAGAGAGAGAGAGAACAAAGCUGACUUUGAUAGAGAGGUCUGCCACACCCACACACAUUCCUGCACACGCGCUAACACACGCAUUCAACUCUUUGCUGUUUGAGGGACAGAACUCUCAGACGGACACAAGGGAAGAGGUUUGUAAAGACAAACCUGAUGUUCUUACUCAAGUCCCUAAAAGGAGGCAAGUGCACUUGCUAGCUGCGUAAGGUUUCAUUUUUCCAGAUCACCCAGAAAAUCAAGAAAGGGAGGCUCACCAGUUAUCCUUAUUAAAGGAGUUCCUACAAGCAAGAAACAAGAUGAAAAGCCUCUUAGAAAGUGUCACAAAGAUGGCCAAAAAUAAUCAGAGGCCUGAUUGAUAUGCUAUUUGAAAAUUCGAAAAUUUUGAAUUUGGGCACAGCUGAUCGUCUGAUAAUGUAAUCAGUAUCGGGUCCUAUUUACUACUAUUUCUUGUAUGUGGAAGAAGUCAAGGAGUUCGAGGUUAACUCACACCUGGGCACACCUGGGCACACCUGGGCGUAGAACUCUUCUACAAUUGGUUUAAUCAAUCAAACAUGGCGUGAUAAUUUAUUUCUUCUCUCAAUUGAAGAUAUCUAUUUAUUUUGUGACA
This is an RNA transcript of Juglans regia (Persian walnut), 1605 nucleotides long. RefSeq lists it as uncharacterized. The transcript is spliced from 4 exons. The record is from RefSeq and is a predicted model, not a curated record. NCBI's taxonomy places the organism in Eukaryota, Viridiplantae, Streptophyta, Magnoliopsida, Fagales, Juglandaceae.